This 71-nucleotide transfer RNA is filed under the name Procavia capensis (Cape rock hyrax). RNAcentral describes it as "tRNA-Gly (CCC) (tRNA-Gly-CCC-5-1)". It matches the Rfam family "tRNA". From Rfam's summary of the family: Transfer RNA (tRNA) molecules are approximately 80 nucleotides in length. Lineage: Eukaryota; Metazoa; Chordata; Mammalia; Hyracoidea; Procaviidae. The record is from RNAcentral.
GCAUUGGUGGUUCAGUGGCAGAAUUCUCACCUCCCAUGUGAGAGCCCCGGGUUCGAUUCCUGGCCAGUUCA